AGCCCAGUGCUGGAACUGGAAUACAGAGUGGUCUUAAAAACCACUGCCCAUUUGGGAUUGGGAGUUCGAAUCUCCUCUGGGCUA
Molecule: transfer RNA, 84 nt
Filed under: Crassvirales sp.
Lineage: Duplodnaviria; Heunggongvirae; Uroviricota; Caudoviricetes; Crassvirales
Description: tRNA-Leu
Rfam family: tRNA
About the family: Transfer RNA (tRNA) molecules are approximately 80 nucleotides in length. Their secondary structure includes four short double-helical elements and three loops (D, anti-codon, and T loops).
Source: RNAcentral